UGCACAAUGGCUUGUGGCUGAACCGCUGAACGCUUAAGGAUCGUGAUUUGUUUCAGGGCAGCAGGUGUUACAAAAUACCCAUUAAAGACUUAAAGUACUUCAGAAUGACCACAUCAACUGCAACUCCAACUACAAAUGCAACUGCAACUCCAACUACAAGUACAACUCAACAAACAGAAGUUGGAUCAUCCUCUCAAGCUGCAUCUCACACAAAUGAAUCUGAAACUGCAACUCCAACAAGUAAAGGCAGAGCUGAAGCAGUUG
This is a long non-coding RNA of Papaver somniferum (opium poppy), 264 nucleotides long. RefSeq lists it as uncharacterized. The transcript is spliced from 3 exons. Lineage: Eukaryota; Viridiplantae; Streptophyta; Magnoliopsida; Ranunculales; Papaveraceae. The record is from RefSeq and is a predicted model, not a curated record.